Molecule: long non-coding RNA, 2810 nt
Filed under: Amborella trichopoda
Lineage: Eukaryota; Viridiplantae; Streptophyta; Magnoliopsida; Amborellales; Amborellaceae
Description: long non-coding RNA (ATRI_LNC002535)
Source: RNAcentral
UUAGAUGCAAGGGAGUUAUUCCAUUUUAUUUGAUGAACAUAAAAUCUCCAUUAAAAAUAGGGAAAUUUACGUAUGGACCAGAAAAAAGGUAUGUUAUAACUGUUUGGUCAAAAAUGAGCCCAGACUACCAAGAAAGACGGAAUCCCCAAUUUUUCUUUUGACAACUUCACCCCCGGUUCGAUGUUUUUAACAUUGGACUACUCUUAACACCUUCGCGUUAAAAACCCCGUGAUCAAGUCGUCUUCGUUUUGUUUUUUUAUUGUUUUAGCUUCAGUCCGAUGUUUGAAACCCCCGAUGUUUUGAAAUUUUUUUUACUCUCUCUCAAAUUUCAUUCUCUCUCUCUCAAACUCUCUCUCCCUCGCUUGUCUCUCUCAAAUUUCAUUCUCUCUCUCUCUCAAACUCUCUCUCCCUCGCUUCCCCUCUGUGAACCCACCCUGCUCUCUGGCAUCUCCUUCCCCUUCAACCUAACACCCUCGCCUGCAUUUGCUGUUGAUUGAAGGUUUAAGGAUUGAAGGUUUAAGCAUUGAAGGCUUAGGGUUUCUUUAAGAUUCAGGUAUGUUAUUGUACCUUGUAAAACUGGGAACUGAAUACAAUUUCAAUCCAGCUUACUCAGAAAGCAUUAUCUUAGUGACAAUUAUCAUUAUUGGUCGGGGGUUUCAUCAGGAUACUAUUAUGUCUUUAAUUUGGAAAUUAAUCAUAUAAUUGCUAUCCAUCAUAAUAGCUUCAACUUGCAAAGUCAUUGUCAAUUCCUAACAAAUUGCUGCUCAUUUUUUUUUUUUUGAGAUUUUGGAGUUGUUUUUAAGUAAAUUAGGUUUCUUUUCAAAUUCAAGUUGUGAUUUAGCUUUUAGAUUGCAUAUAUUAUUAUUGGGAAAGGUUCUUAUCAUUAUAUUAUGUGAUAUUGUGAUACAUGCAUUUAAAGGAUAUCAGAAGAGCUAUCAUCGACAUUAAAUUUAUCAUGAUUUGAAGAUAUUUGUUUUUUGGGUAAUUACCAAAGAUAAUUGUCACUAAGAGCAUUAUGAAGAGAACUUGGGGAAUUCAUCUUGUGUUUUAGAUGCUUUUUAUUAAAAAUAACCUCAACCACGCAAGCCAAUUAUCAGCCUGGCAAAUUUCCUUCAAGUGCAUAUUUUAAAAUUAUGAUGAAACAAAACUUUACUUUGAAUUAUUUGGAAUUGUAUAUUAUAAGGUCAUUUACUUUUAUUAAGAAGGCUACAAUAACACAUAACCAUCAAACGUGAAAUCUAACACCUUGAUAUUUGUCUUAAUAUUCGAAAAAAAAAAUUUGGACUUUAAGACGUAGUUAUCGUAAGCCAAUUUUACAUAUACCAUCCCAUUUCUUUCAUAGACUUAGUAUCCUAAUAUUUGUCUUUUUAUACAAAGAGAAUCCCAUAAAAAGGAUUCUUCAAAUAUUAUUCUCCAUAUAUGACUGUAAAGCAAUUCAUUCAUCAGAAGCAUUGUUAUGUACUCUUAUCAAUGAUUGUUUCACGAAUUUAUGAAAGUAGAUUCUAUUUAGAGAAAGCUUUUUGGAGGGAAAUAUGACUUUGAUGAAUGAAACUGUUUUGAAUCGCUGUUUGGAUGGAUAGGUGGUUCAAACUGAAUAACUUGUUAGUUAUGAAUGGGUUAUAAGCUAAGCAGAAUUUUGACAUAUGCUUAUUUAUCUAAAUUCCCAGAGGACUAUUUGAAUACUUGUUCGGUUGUUCAAUUUAAGUUCCUUCACAAAAUAUGCUUAUUAAAAAGAAAGUUUGCUAGCACCAAGUAGCAGACCAAGGAGCUCUGCCUUAGUUCCUACAAUUGCAAAGGCAGCACGUCUCAAACGAUGUUUGGGAAGGAGAGGUAAAUAUAUUUAUAAUAACUUGAGAAUACCUACCUACUUUAUCAACACUAUCUUGAUAAAUAAUGAUUCAAGGACUUUUUUGUUAAUUUUGAUUGGAGAGAAAAAAAAAUUUUGUUGACGAGAGAUGGAGUAACAUCCGAACUUGGUCUAGGUUCUUGAUACUGGCUCAAAAGGGCCCUCUGUGCUAUAGCAGGGUUAUGGCCCCUUGUAAGGUCGACCAUGGCCUAAUCAUUACAAUGGUCGAAAGAUGGCAGCCCGAGACCAGUUCAGCACACUUUGAUGAUCAUGUCGGUGAGAUGAUGCCUAUGCUCUAUGAUUUUUGGAUGAUACUUCGGCUCAAUAUGAAUGGGGACUUGUCACGACCCCUCUCCCAACCGUCCCCGUCGGACCCACACAAGGCUAAGACUGGCCCGUCCAAGGACAAUAGGGCAUGGGCUCACAAGCAUAGGUAACGAGUGCCUCUCAGGUUAGAGUGCGCUCAACACUUUGAACAGAAGGAAUUUCCAGUAUCAAAGCCAACCACGAAAGAAACAAAAAAUGAAACACAAUAUGCAUAACCAUAAUCUGCUGGAUAGAGAAGUCACAAGAUACAUGUAAUAAUCCAAAUUGUACAUAUAGGUCCAAGGCACAAAUACCCAACAUCAAGACAUAUAACCAAAUCAAAAUGGACUAUGUGGCCAACUGCCAACCAAAACGUAUGCUGUAAAUUGGUGCUUCAACAAAAGGGGAGUAAGGGGCUCCAAGCGUGACCACCAGGCCACACUACUCCAAACACGCUGGCUAUCACUCUACAUGGAGGAAAAUUUAAACGAGUGAGCUGUAAAGCCUAAUAAAUAGAUCUAGGUGCCAUGCAUUCAUGCUUACAAAUACUAUAUCAUGACAAUAAUCAGGCUUUUAUGCAAGUCUUACAAAACAUAGAGUCAUGUGUCAAAUUCAUAAUUAAACAAACGUGUGUUGCAUGAUUUGUUUUAUGGUGGGG